UGGGCUAAAGAACAUCUAUUCGACAAAUUUAAAUGAAAUAUAUUCAUAUUAAAUUUGAUAAAAAAACUAAACGGUAGUAAAAGUUCUUCACAAAGACGACGUGCGGGGGAGGGAUCUAUCGGCUAAAUUGCAAAAUUUAUGAUGAGUAAAAAACACAAGCUCACUUCAGAAAGUAAACUUUGCAUCCAAGAAGCUGGUGGAGGAAUACCUCUGGACGUCCAAACAAUCAAGAUUUUGGAAACAAAAAAUAUUGAAAAUAUACAUUCAACUAACAUCUUAAAUGAAUUUGAACAAAGGCAUAAGACGAUAGAUCCCUCCCCCUUCAAAAUUGCUAUUGAUUCACUUCGUAAGAAGUAUACAACUACUGGGUAAGUAUUACAAUCUGCCCACAU
Oreochromis niloticus (Nile tilapia) is the source of this 392-nucleotide long non-coding RNA. RefSeq lists it as uncharacterized. The transcript is spliced from 3 exons. NCBI's taxonomy places the organism in Eukaryota, Metazoa, Chordata, Actinopteri, Cichliformes, Cichlidae. The record is from RefSeq and is a predicted model, not a curated record.